GACGAACGCUGGCGGCGUGCCUAAUACAUGCAAGUAGAACGCACAGUUUAUACCGUAGCUUGCUACACCAUAGACUGUGAGUUGCGAACGGGUGAGUAACGCGUAGGUAACCUGCCUGGUAGCGGGGGAUAACUAUUGGAAACGAUAGCUAAUACCGCAUAAUAUUGAUUAUUGCAUGAUAAUUGAUUGAAAGAUGCUAUUGCAUCACUACCAGAUGGACCUGCGUUGUAUUAGCUAGUAGGUGAGGUAACGGCUCACCUAGGCGACGAUACAUAGCCGACCUGAGAGGGUGAUCGGCCACACUGGGACUGAGACACGGCCCAGACUCCUACGGGAGGCAGCAGUAGGGAAUCUUCGGCAAUAGACGAAAGUCUGACCGAGCAACGCCGCGUGAGUGAAGAAGGUUUUCGGAUCGUAAAGCUCUGUUGUAAGAGAAGAACGGGUGUGAGAGUGGAAAGUUCACACUGUGACGGUACCUUACCAGAAAGGGACGGCUAACUACGUG
Molecule: ribosomal RNA, 505 nt
Filed under: uncultured bacterium
Lineage: Bacteria
Description: partial 16S ribosomal RNA
Rfam family: Bacterial small subunit ribosomal RNA
Source: RNAcentral